CCUACGGGAGGCUGCAGUGGGGAAUAUUGGGCAAUGGGCGCAAGCCUGACCCAGCCACGCCGCGUGAGGGAAGACGGCUUUCGGGUUGUUAACUUCUUUUUAGAGGGAAGAGCAGAAGACGGUACCUCUUGAUUCAGCCACGGCUAACUACGUUCCAGCAGCCGCGGGAAUACGUAGGUGGCCAGCGUUGUCCGGAUUUACUGGGUGUAAAGGGCGUUUAGCGGGGCGUACAAGUCAGAUGUGAAAUUCCGGGGCUCAACCCCGGACCUGCAUUUGAAACUGGUGGUCUUGAGUAUCGGAGAGGCAGGCGGAAUUCGUAGUGUAGCGGUGAAAUGCGUAGAUAUUAGGAGGAACACCAGUGGCGAAGGCAGCCUGCUGGACGACAACUGACGGUGAGGCGCGAAAGCGUGGGGAGCAAACAGGAUUAGAUACCCCUGUAGUC
RNAcentral lists this ribosomal RNA (442 nucleotides) under uncultured bacterium. RNAcentral's name for it is "partial 16S ribosomal RNA". It matches the Rfam family "Bacterial small subunit ribosomal RNA", at positions 338 to 795 of the family's 1533-position model. The record is from RNAcentral.